Non-coding RNA from Pelobates cultripes (western spadefoot toad), 540 nucleotides. The record is from the annotation of a GenBank genome assembly. Lineage: Eukaryota; Metazoa; Chordata; Amphibia; Anura; Pelobatidae.
GGGCGAAAAAAGCAAAAACUAUGCCCGGCGAAGCUGCAAAUCAAAACUCUCACACCGCCCAGCAGCGUGCUCCGAUCGGAGCAACAGCACCUCUAUCUCACUGGGGAAUUCAGCGCCAGCUUCUGAAUCCUCAUUACACAGAAUGCUGCAGGAGCUGCAACACAACCUGCAAACAGAAUUCAGCAAGCUUGCCAGUGAUCUUAGGGCCAACAUUAAAGCCAUAGGGGAGCGUACAACUAUAUUGGAAGAUAAAACUGAGGAAAUCAUAGAGGCCCAUAACAACCUAGCAGAGGCCUAUGACUCCCUUGGGGCUAAAAUUGAGGCAUUGAGUGCAAAAGUAGCGGAUCAUGAAGACCGCCACAGAAGAAACAACAUACGCCUGCGCUGCAUCCCAGAUAUCAAACCAUCGGAACUGCAGGACUUCACCAUAAAUAUGUUCAAAACACUAUGCCCAGUUCUCACAGAGGCAAAUCUACGCCUGGAUCGUAUUCACAGGCUUCCCAGGCCACGGUUCAUUUCAGUCUCCAUGCCUAGAGACGU